GUGAGGAAUUUUCCGCAAUGGGCGAAAGCCUGACGGAGCAAUGCCGCGUGAAGGAUGAAGGCCUUUGGGUUGUAAACUUCUUUUCUCAGAAAAGAAUUAUGACGGUAUCUGAGGAAUAAGCAUCGGCUAACUCUGUGCCAGCAGCCGCGGUAAGACAGAGGAUGCAAGCGUUAUCCGGAAUGAUUGGGCGUAAAGCGUCUGUAGGUUGUUUAAAAAGUAUUCUGUCAAAGAUUAGGGCUUAACCCUAGAUAGGCAGAAUAAACUUUUAAGCUAGAGUUUGGUAGAGGCAGAGGGAAUUCCCGGUGGAGCGGUGAAAUGCGUAGAUAUCGGGAGGAACACCAAAGGCGAAGGCACUCUGCUGGGCCAAUACUAACACUGAGAGACGAAAGCGAGGGGAGCAAAUGGGAUUAGAAACCCUAGUAGUCC
Molecule: ribosomal RNA, 426 nt
Filed under: uncultured bacterium
Lineage: Bacteria
Description: partial 16S ribosomal RNA
Rfam family: Bacterial small subunit ribosomal RNA
Source: RNAcentral